AAUCGCUAGUAAUCGCGGAUCAGAAUGUCGCGGUGAAUACGUUUCCGGGUCUUGUACACACCGCCCGUCACACCAUGGGAGCGGGUCUCGCCAGAAGUGGGUAGCCUAACCGCAAGGAGGGCGCUUACCACGGCGGGGUUCGUGACUGGGGUGAAGUCGUAACAAGGUAACCGUAA
Molecule: ribosomal RNA, 176 nt
Filed under: uncultured bacterium
Lineage: Bacteria
Description: partial 16S ribosomal RNA
Rfam family: Bacterial small subunit ribosomal RNA
Source: RNAcentral